RNAcentral lists this ribosomal RNA (254 nucleotides) under uncultured bacterium. RNAcentral's name for it is "partial 16S ribosomal RNA". It matches the Rfam family "Bacterial small subunit ribosomal RNA", at positions 524 to 776 of the family's 1533-position model. The record is from RNAcentral.
UACGUAGGGUGCGAGCGUUAAUCGGAAUUACUGGGCGUAAAGCGUGCGCAGGCGGUUUUGUAAGCCAGAUGUGAAAUCCCCGGGCUCAACCUGGGAACUGCAUUUGUGACUGCAUAGCUAGAGUACGGUAGAGGGGGAUGGAAUUCCGCGUGUAGCAGUGAAAUGCGUAGAUAUGCGGAGGAACACCGAUGGCGAAGGCAAUCCCCCUGGACCUGUACUGACGCUCAUGCACGAAAGCGUGGGGAGCAAACAGG